GCGUUUGUAGUCCAACGGUUAGGAUAAUUGCCUUCCAAGCAAUAGACCCGGGUUCGACUCCCGGCAAACGCACUUCUUUUUUUCUUCUGAAAUUACAACUUUAAAAUUUUAUUUUGAAGUCACAAAAUUAACAGCUGAAAUUAAAGUUGAAUCUUUUCGUUUGCCGCGAUGUUGAAUAAAGUUCAAUGAAUCAUAAUUUUCUUGAUUUAUUGAUAUGACCGGAACGGCAAACGGGUACAUGCACUAAUCGACUUUUGUUCUGGUUAUUGAGUGUUAUGUACCUUUUGUCUAAGGCUUGAUGCAAAACUACAAUUGAGUCAGCAGUCUCUCUAUUCCUACGGGGUAGAGGUAACACUGUCUACAUCCUACCUUCCUCAGACCCGACCUUAGCAUAUCUUCAUCUCUUUUUGCAAACAAUUUUAUCCUCUAACAGCAACAAAAACAACACCAGCGUCUGUAGUCCAACGGUUAGGAUAAUUGCCUUCCAAGCAAUAGACCCGGUUUCGACUCCCGGCAAACGCA
RNAcentral lists this transfer RNA (522 nucleotides) under Helianthus annuus (common sunflower). The stretch from base 1 to 72 matches the Rfam family "tRNA". Lineage: Eukaryota; Viridiplantae; Streptophyta; Magnoliopsida; Asterales; Asteraceae. The record is from RNAcentral.